UACGUAGGGACCAAGCGUUGUUCGGAUUUACUGGGCGUAAAGGGCGCGUAGGCGGCGUGUUAAGUCAGCUGUGAAAUCUCCGAGCUUAACUCGGAACGGUCAGCUGAUACUGAUGUGCUAGAGUGCAGAAGGGGCAAUCGGAAUUCUUGGUGUAGCGGUGAAAUGCGCAGAUAUCAGGAGGAACACCGGUGGCGAAGGCGGGUCUCUGGGCCGAUACUGACGCUGAGGAGCGAAAGCGUGGGGAGCGAACAGG
This 253-nucleotide ribosomal RNA is filed under the name uncultured bacterium. Its description in RNAcentral is "partial 16S ribosomal RNA". It matches the Rfam family "Bacterial small subunit ribosomal RNA", at positions 524 to 776 of the family's 1533-position model. The record is from RNAcentral.